Molecule: ribosomal RNA, 305 nt
Filed under: uncultured bacterium
Lineage: Bacteria
Description: bacterial SSU rRNA
Rfam family: Bacterial small subunit ribosomal RNA
Source: RNAcentral
UUCCUACGGGAGGCAGCAGUGAGGAAUAUUGGUCAAUGGGCGGAAGCCUGAACCAGCCAAGUCGCGUGAGGGAAGAAGGCCCUGCGGGUCGCAGACCUCUUUGGACGGGGAGCAAGGCCGCCGACGUGUCGGCGGAAGGAGAGUACCCGUAGAACAAGCAUCGGCUAACUCCGUGUCAGCAGCCGCGGUAAUACGGAGGAUGCGAGCGUUAUCCGGAUUUAUUGGGUUUAAAGGGUGCGUAGGCGGUCCGUUAAGUCAGCGGUAAAAUUGCGGGGCUCAACCCCGUCGAGCCGUUGAAACUGGCG